ACGAACGCUGGCGGCGUGCCUAAUACAUGCAAGUCGAACGCUUCUUUCCUCCCGAGUGCUUGCACUCAAUUGGAAAGAGGCGUGGCGGACGGGUGAGUAACACGUGGGUAACCUACCCAUCAGAGGGGGAUAACACUUGGAAACAGGUGCUAAUACCGCAUAACCGUUUAUGCCGCAUGGCAUAAGAGUGAAAGGCGCUUUCGGGUGUCGUUGAUGGAUGGACCCGCGGUGCAUUAGCUAGUUGGUGAGGUAACGGCUCACCAAGGCCACGAUGCAUAGCCGACCUGAGAGGGUGAUCGGCCACACUGGGACUGAGACACGGCCCAGACUCCUACGGGAGGCAGCAGUAGGGAAUCUUCGGCAAUGGACGAAAGUCUGACCGAGCAACGCCGCGUGAGUGAAGAAGGUUUUCGGAUCGUAAAACUCUGUUGUUAGAGAAGAACAAGGACGUUAGUAACUGAACGUCCCCUGACGGUAUCUAACCAGAAAGCCACGGCUAACUACGUG
This 507-nucleotide ribosomal RNA is filed under the name uncultured bacterium. Its description in RNAcentral is "partial 16S ribosomal RNA". It matches the Rfam family "Bacterial small subunit ribosomal RNA", at positions 29 to 507 of the family's 1533-position model. The record is from RNAcentral.